ACUGGCAGCUAGCUCUCUGCAACUGUCACAUGGUCGCCCACUAAAGCUAAGCAGGGCUGAGCUUGGUCUGUACCUGGAUGGGAGACCACAUGGGAAAGCUAGGUUGCUGCUGGAA
Ribosomal RNA from Danio rerio (zebrafish), 115 nucleotides. The record is from Ensembl. NCBI's taxonomy places the organism in Eukaryota, Metazoa, Chordata, Actinopteri, Cypriniformes, Danionidae.